GAGAGCCGCUAGGGGAGCCGUUGCAACGGCUGAGAACCGGGGUGAACCCCGGGACCCUGUCACCUGAUCCGGGUAAUGCCGGCGUAGGGAAGCGAGCCUCGCGGACA
This is a regulatory RNA element of 107 nucleotides. It matches the Rfam family "TPP riboswitch aptamer (THI element)". Rfam says of the family: Vitamin B(1) in its active form thiamin pyrophosphate (TPP) is an essential coenzyme that is synthesised by coupling of pyrimidine and thiazole moieties in bacteria. The previously detected thiamin-regulatory element, thi box was extended, resulting in a new, highly conserved RNA secondary structure, the THI element, which is widely distributed in eubacteria and also occurs in some archaea. The record is from Rfam.